Molecule: ribosomal RNA, 480 nt
Filed under: uncultured bacterium
Lineage: Bacteria
Description: partial 16S ribosomal RNA
Rfam family: Bacterial small subunit ribosomal RNA
Source: RNAcentral
GAUGAACGCUGGCGGCGUGCUUAACACAUGCAAGUCGAACGAAACACCUUAUUUGAUUUUCUUCGGAACUGAAGAUUUGGUGAUUGAGUGGCGGACGGGUGAGUAACGCGUGGGUAACCUGCCCUGUACAGGGGGAUAACAGUCAGAAAUGACUGCUAAUACCGCAUAAGACCACAGCACCGCAUGGUGCAGGGGUAAAAACUCCGGUGGUACAGGUUGGACCCGCGUCUGAUUAGCUGGUUGGUGAGGUACGGCUCACCAAGGCGACGAUCAGUAGCCGGCUUGAGAGAGUGAACGGCCACAUUGGGACUGAGACACGGCCCAAACUCCUACGGGAGGCAGCAGUGGGGAAUAUUGCACAAUGGGGGAAACCCUGAUGCAGCGACGCCGCGUGAGUGAAGAAGUAUUUCGGUAUGUAAAGCUCUAUCAGCAGGGAAGAAAAUGACGGUACCUGACUAAGAAGCCCCGGCUAACUACGUG